AUGUCCUCUUGCAGACAGCUGCUUAGAAACAAAGGUUGGCAAGAAAAAAAAUCAGCUAAAUAUAAUAAAAUAUUUAUUUGAGGGAAUGCUAUGAUUAGGAUGCUUUGUGCAGACUGGGAAGAUUUAGAAUAUGAAUUUCUUCAGAAAAUCAUGGCCGUGAUGAGUGCAAGAAAUCUUUGGUGACCUAGGAACAACUGAGAGAGGAAGACACUUCUUUUCUACAUGGCAAGCUUAUUCUUCUGAAGAAACCCAAAUAGGUGGAAUAACCUCUCCAAAGAUCAGGGCCCUGGAGGAUGUCCACAAUCUCUGUAUAUGCCCAGAACAAAAAAAAACCAAAAAAACCAACAGCUCUUGAAUGGCAGUCAAAAAUGGAUAGCCAGAAGCAGACAAUAUGUCAAUAUGUUGUGUCUUGCUGAAGUGUGAUUCAUUCCUUCUGGAUUAAAGCUUGCAAGGAACUGCAGUGAACUUUUGUGUAAGUUAAACUUUGCUUAUAAUGACAAACUAUUACACGCUCUGCUGGAGUAGAAAAUGGCAUUUUUCUUUGAGUUGUGCUCCUUUUAAAAUUAUUUGAAUAAUGGUACGCUUCCACAUCCGUGUAAAUGUAUCUGAAUAACCUCAUGUUUUGCAAACAAAGUUGACUUGUAUAAACAUGUUUAGUCGUGAUUGAAUUUUACUUUCCCAUUUAAUGAACACUGUUUGGUCAUGGUGUUCAAUCACUAAAUUAAUUAAUAUGUCUGUAACUCUGAUUGUUUACAUGUCAAUCAAAAUCAAAGGGAAAAAUUACAAAGAUUCUGCUAAGGAAACAGAAGAAGUUUAUAUGAAGUGAAACAAAAUUGAAAACUUAAGUGUGUUUAUCUACAGUCAACAGGAGUUAUUUUCCUUUUUUUUCCUGUUUGUAUUUGUAUUUUUAAAGAAAUUGUGUUUAUAUAAUUUAAUAAAUAAUACAGGAAUUCUUUUGUGCUUAUAUUGACUGUUGGGCAAUCUCUUACAUACUGUGUGUAUCUGUAUCAUCCAACUCCAUCUAGCUACUGAUCUGCCAUAGUAGAUGACAUAGUACUUUAUUAGAAGGUGAAGUCAUUCUAAUUCUCAAGGGAUGCGACUUCUCAAAUAUGUAACUGUAUUAACUUAUGUAUGAUUUGGGUCAGGAGAGGGAAGAAUCCAAGAAACAUUUCCUCAUAAAUUACUUAAUGAGUGUUUUCAAGAGAUGGUUCUGGAGAUUCUUCUUUUAAUUUUCUUCUGUUUUAACUUAUUUCAGAUAAUUAAAA
Pogoniulus pusillus (Red-fronted tinkerbird) is the source of this 1265-nucleotide long non-coding RNA. RefSeq lists it as uncharacterized. The transcript is spliced from 3 exons. The record is from RefSeq and is a predicted model, not a curated record. NCBI's taxonomy places the organism in Eukaryota, Metazoa, Chordata, Aves, Piciformes, Lybiidae.